GGAAAACGGAAGACGUCAUCGCCAUGGUAACAGAAAGACGCCUACUGUCAUGGCUGUAGCGCUGUGGCACAGGUUGCAACUAACAAGGAUCGCUGCUGCUUCCAGAAGACGAAAGUGUCCCACUUUUUUUUCACUCACAUGUUUUCCAAUCCUAUUAUCUGGCAUUUCAGAUCCAACAAAUGAAUGAAUGAAUUCUGUCAGUUGUGUUCAAAUUUUAAGGUGUCAGGGGGUGCACAAUUAAAUCAAACGUCAGCAGAGAAGAAGAUUUGUUUCUUUUGUUUUAUCUUUUUACACCACUAUUUUUGUGAUGUUCUGUCAGUGUGAAAAAGGCGUGGGAGAAAUAAAGGACGCAUGUGGAACUCACAUCAAUAUGUUUGUUUCCUCCUCCAUUUCAACGUUGCACUUCCUGAAAAAGUUGUCCAGAGUGAGCAUCGAUGCAGACUCGCUGUUUAAGGGCUGAACAGUCCACUCUCCCUCCGCACUACGCGGUUUGGGACGGCCCUUAAUAUGGAGGACCCUCCGCGGGAACGCGCAAACGGAGGGGUAGUGUGUAGGGGGCGGUUUGGGAUUCAGCCAUGGAUUGACGCAGAGCUUGUUAACAUAUUCCGAUACACUAGGUGGCGCUGUUCUGCUGUGCAUUGGUUUGGAUACUAGAGUAAACAAAACUUUAUUGGCAACCGCUACAAAUCCAGACUCGGUCCUCUAUCCCAAAUAUUGAUGUGGCGUGCGAAGUGCACGACAAAAUGUCAAAAACCUGCCCAGAGCUGCUGAGAGAAGCAGCGAAUUUGAUUGAGGAAGCUCUGAGCAGAACUCCUCCGGCUCCGGCGGCUCAGUCACAGCAGAUACCAGCUGCUCAAUCACGUACACCUGUCCAAGCCGAGGUAGCAAGGCUCUUUGCGCCGUACAACGGUGGAGCCAGAAGGAAAACGACGAGAAGACAGGCACAAGUCCAAGUUAGUCGAAGAAGCUACACAUACACACUGUCUGUUGUUUGGCUGACCACAACGCGGAUAAAGUUCCAAGCGUGCUGCUUAAAGCAGACCUCCUUACUUCAGGACUUGGAGAGCAAAAAGUGACAUUUUCAGGGAAUGACAAUGAUCCCAUGAUUAUAACAAAUAAACUGAUGGAAGUGUUUCCGAAGCUCAAAGAAGGGGGAGGCUUUGAAUUCUAAAAAUUGUAGGAUCUACUCGUAGCUGAAAUCUCGUGUUGCUUCCAUGUCCCAGCACUGGAUACACCCUUGCCUAUCUGAAAGAUCCAGCGACGAUGAUUGGACAGGCUCCACUCUACAUACGUCCACUUCAACAGGAUCUACCCAUAGAUUGUGAGAGCUCACAAACUGCCUCUGGUCCAGUCAUCCCCUGUAUCACUUGUCAGAAGGAAGUUCCCUUUUCAGAGAUGAAGCUGCACAGAUUGAGCUGCACUGGGACAUCCAUGCAGGAAUCAGAGAGAGAACAAGAGGGAGGACGAAGUGAAGAAAAUGAUAGAGAGACGGCCCCAGUCAGAGUGUUCCAGUGAGGCCUGGAACAUCAGCUGAAUGCAGUUGUAUCAGCAGUGAUUUACAUCGAGGACUUGGAUGACAAGGAAACAGACAAUGAAUGGAAGCUGAUUAAAGAACCAGCUCAAGCUGCCAAAGUUUUCAAAGAGAAUCUGCUAAGUGAACAUGCAUCUGGGAAACCACUGAGAAUGAAGAUGGAUGUGAGGGACUCUGAAGAGGAACGGGAACUUCUCUCUUUCUAUAAACAGCCGCAAGAAUGGGCAUGUCCACUUCACUGUACUUUUCUUGGUGAUGAUGUUGUUGGAGAGGGAGUGAUGCGGUACUUUAUGACAACAAUAAUAUCCAAACUGCAGUUUGGAUUCAGUCUAGAUCUUGGAGGAAUGGGCCGAACACUAUUUGAGGGUGAACCUGACCGUCUCGUUCCAGCAGCAUCAGAGGUGCUUAUUGAAAGCGACCUCUUCCCUGUUACAGGAAGGAUGUUGGCCCACAGCUUUCUGCAUGAUGGCCCCCAUGUCAGAGGAUUAAGUCCUGCUGUAGUUCAUGUACUGUUCAAUGGGGACCCUGAAACGGCAACUGUUGCUACAGAAGACUGUCCUGAUCUGGACAUCAGGAGUGUCAUAGAACUGCUUGAACAUGAAGAACUUACACCGGAACAGAAGGACACAGUUUCAGCUCUUUCCCUGUCUUGGGAUCUCCCGGCAGUCAACAGAACAAAUCGGAGAUGGCUGCAUAACAAAGUUCUACUGCAUGCAGCGAGUUCCUGAUGGUUAAGUGACAGAAUUCAUUGCUGUAGUUGUUGAAAUUAUAGAAAGUGUUGUGAACCCUGGUUAUGUUAUGUCAGCACUGGCAGAGAUGAAACAUUUAACAUAAUCCAUAGUCGUGUUAAAGUUCUUGAAAAACAGCAUUUAAUUCAUAAUAUACAGUUUAACUACAAUAACUAAUUUCACAAAUGACAUGGUAGGAAAAAAUGAUUAUACAAAAUGUAAUCCUUUACAAAAAAUCACACUACAGUACACUGAGAGCAGCUCAACACAUCUGGUUUUGUGAAUUUGCCUUUUGAUAAUAUACUUUAAAAAGGCGAUACAGUCAAAUGUCCACCACUCAGCACUAAAGACACCAGUUGCUGAAAUGUAUAAAAUGGAAUAUUCUAAAAUGUGUUAAGGGUUGAUAUAUUCUGUACUAGUCUGAAUGCAUUUGUAAAGCAGUUCAUUAUGCUUUUAUGAACAUUUUCCCUACUGUGCCAACUUUUGUAAAAGUUGUGUUGAGGAUUUGCUCUGUAGUAUGGUCGGGUUUGUCUCUUAGGUCAUUGGAGGACCAUGCGCCAAAUCAAACAGCUGAGAAAGGGACUGAAAGAUCAAAUCAAACUUUAUUUAUAAAGCACUUUUCAUACAAUAAAAAGCAGCUUAAAGUGCUGUACAACAUUUAAAAUAACAA
Acanthochromis polyacanthus (spiny chromis) is the source of this 2929-nucleotide long non-coding RNA. RefSeq lists it as uncharacterized. The record is from RefSeq and is a predicted model, not a curated record. The transcript has 9 exons. NCBI's taxonomy places the organism in Eukaryota, Metazoa, Chordata, Actinopteri, Pomacentridae.